CAGCCCAGAUUGAUUUGGAUGCAGACCUGAAUGAGGAGGAGAGUGAAGAUUUGGAUGCAAGAAGCAUCCAGGAUGGGUCUGAAGAGGAGAACAAGCUUGUGGAUGCGAUGUUGGAGGUUAAGAGGGAGCUUGAGGCCCAGACUGAUUUGGAUGCAAACCUGAAUGAGGGGGAGGAGAGUGAAGAUUUGGGUGAGUAAC
Molecule: long non-coding RNA, 198 nt
Organism: Polyodon spathula (Mississippi paddlefish)
Lineage: Eukaryota; Metazoa; Chordata; Actinopteri; Acipenseriformes; Polyodontidae
Exons: 3
Source: RefSeq, a predicted model, not a curated record